RNAcentral lists this ribosomal RNA (243 nucleotides) under uncultured Actinomycetales bacterium. RNAcentral's name for it is "partial 16S ribosomal RNA". It matches the Rfam family "Bacterial small subunit ribosomal RNA", at positions 88 to 334 of the family's 1533-position model. The record is from RNAcentral. Lineage: Bacteria; Bacillati; Actinomycetota; Actinomycetes; Actinomycetales.
UACUCGAGUGGCGAACGGGUGAGUAACACGUGGGUGAUCUGCCCUGCACUCUGGGAUAAGCCUGGGAAACUGGGUCUAAUACCGGAUAGGACCAUGCUUUAGUGUGUGUGGUGGAAAGUUUUUUCGGUGUAGGAUGAGCCCGCGGCCUAUCAGCUUGUUGGCGGGGUAAUGGCCUACCAAGGCGGCGACGGGUAGCCGGACUGGGAGGUUGGUCGGCCACAUUGGGACUGAGAUACGGCCCAG